CAUUUAAAGAGUGCGUAAUAGCUCACUAGUCGAGAAAACCUGCGCCGAAAAUGUAACGGGGCUAAAACACGACACCGAAGCUACGGAUUUCCUACAAGGUAGGAAGUGGUAGAGGAGCAUCCUGCAAGGACGAAGCCAAAGUGAGAGCGAUGGUGGACGAAACAGGAGAGAGAAUGCCGGAAUGAGUAGCGAGAUACAUGUGAGAAACAUGUAGGCCGAAUAUCUAAGGAUUCCUGGGUAAAGCUAAUCUUCCCAGGGUUAGUCGGGGCCUAAGGCGAGGACGAAAGUCGUAGUCGAUGGAUAACAGGUGGAGAUUCCUGUACUACACAUAAUCAGAACUGUGGGGACGCAGGAGGAUAGGGAAACCGGGGAAUGGAAAGACCCGGUCAAGCGUAAAGCUGUGGGAGAUAGGCAAAUCCGUCUCUUGUAAGCUGAAGACGUGAUGAGGACUGAAAAAAAGUAAGGAAGUUUCCGAAUCCACACUGCCGAGAAAAGCCGCUAUUGCGUUAUGUGUACCCGUACCGUAAACCGACACAGGUAGAUGAGGAGAAAAUCCACAGGCCGACGGGAGAAGUGUUGUUAAGGAACUCGGCAAAAUGACCCCGUAACUUCGGGAUAAGGGGAGCCUCGCAAGAGGCCGCAGAAAAGAGGCACAAGCAACUGUUUAGCAAAAACAUAGGUCUAUGCGAAACCGUAAGGUGAAGUAUAUGGGCUGACGCCUGCCCGGUGCUGGAAGGUUAAAAGGAGAGGUCAGCGCAAGCGAAGCUUUGAAUUCAAGCCCCAGUAAACGGCGGCCGUAACUAUAACGGUCCUAAGGUAGCGAAAUUCCUUGUCAGGUAAGUUCUGACCCGCACGAAAGGCGUAAUGAUUUGUGCACUGUCUCGACAACACGCCCGGUGAAAUUGAAGAACCAGUGAAGAUACUGGUUACCCGCAACAGGACGGAAAGACCCCAUGGAGCUUUACUGCAGCCUGAUACUGGGAUUCGAUGAUGUAUGUACAGGAUAGGUGGGAGACUAAGAAGGUAGUACGCCAGUAUUGCCGGAGUCGACGGUGGGAUACCUCUCUUAUGUAUUGGGUUUCUAACCAGAGUCCGUGAAUCCGGACUUGGGACAAUGUCAGGCGGGCAGUUUGACUGGGGCGGUCGCCUCCUAAAAGGUAACGGAGGCGCUCGAAGGUCACCUCAGAAUGAUUGGAAACCAUUCAAAGAGUGUAAAGGCAAAAGGUGGCUUGACUGCGAGAGCGACGGGUCGAGCAGGUACGAAAGUAGGACUUAGUGAUCCGG
This 1284-nucleotide ribosomal RNA is filed under the name human gut metagenome. RNAcentral's name for it is "bacterial LSU rRNA". It matches the Rfam family "Bacterial large subunit ribosomal RNA", at positions 1120 to 2423 of the family's 2925-position model. The record is from RNAcentral.